CUAGUACGAGAGGACCGGGAAGGACGCACCUCUGGUGUACCAGUUAUCGUGCCUACGGUAAACGCUGGGUAGCCAAGUGCGGAGAGGAUAACUGCUGAAAGCAUAUAAGUAGUAAGCCCACCCCAAGAUGAGUGCUGUCUCCUUCGACUUCCCUAGAGCCUCCGGUAUCACAGCCGAGACAGCGACGGGUUCUCCACCCAU
This 201-nucleotide ribosomal RNA is filed under the name Triticum aestivum (bread wheat). Its description in RNAcentral is "partial small subunit ribosomal RNA". The stretch from base 1 to 136 matches the Rfam family "Bacterial large subunit ribosomal RNA", at positions 2678 to 2812 of the family's 2925-position model. Lineage: Eukaryota; Viridiplantae; Streptophyta; Magnoliopsida; Poales; Poaceae. The record is from RNAcentral.